GAUGAACGCUGGCGGCGUGCCUAAUACAUGCAAGUCGAGCGAACAGACGAGGAGCUUGCUCCUCUGACGUUAGCGGCGGACGGGUGAGUAACACGUGGAUAACCUACCUAUAAGACUGGGAUAACUUCGGGAAACCGGAGCUAAUACCGGAUAAUAUAUUGAACCGCAUGGUCCAAUAGUGAAAGACGGUUUUGCUGUCACUUAUAGAUGGAUCCGCGCCGCAUUAGCUAGUUGGUAAGGUAACGGCUUACCAAGGCAACGAUGCGUAGCCGACCUGAGAGGGUGAUCGGCCACACUGGAACUGAGACACGGUCCAGACUCCUACGGGAGGCAGCAGUAGGGAAUCUUCCGCAAUGGGCGAAAGCCUGACGGAGCAACGCCGCGUGAGUGAUGAAGGUCUUCGGAUCGUAAAACUCUGUUAUUAGGGAAGAACAAAUGUGUAAGUAACUAUGCACGUCUUGACGGUACCUAAUCAGAAAGCCACGGCUAACUACGU
Molecule: ribosomal RNA, 496 nt
Filed under: uncultured bacterium
Lineage: Bacteria
Description: partial 16S ribosomal RNA
Rfam family: Bacterial small subunit ribosomal RNA
Source: RNAcentral